GAUGAACGCUAGCUACAGGCUUAACACAUGCAAGUCGCGGGACCGGCGCACGGGUGAGUAACGCGUAUACCACCUGCCCUUCACCACGGGAUAACCCGGCGAAAGUCGGACUAAUACCGUAUGGUGAAGGCUGGGGAUGCGUCCGAUUAGCUUGACGGUGGGGUAACGGCCCACCGUGGCUACGAUCGGGAGGUGUUCUGAGAGGAAGGUCCCCCACACUGGAACUGAGACACGGUCCAGACUCCUACGGGAGGGAGCAGUGAGGAAUAUUGGUCAAUGGGCGGAAGCCGGAACCAGCCAAGUAGCGUGCAGGACGACGGCCUAUGGGUUGUAAACUGCUUUUAUGCGGGGAUAGGUACCGCAUGAAUAAGGACCGGCUAAUUCCGUGCCAGCCGCCGCGGUAAUAC
This 407-nucleotide ribosomal RNA is filed under the name uncultured bacterium. Its description in RNAcentral is "partial 16S ribosomal RNA". It matches the Rfam family "Bacterial small subunit ribosomal RNA", at positions 28 to 526 of the family's 1533-position model. The record is from RNAcentral.